Molecule: ribosomal RNA, 301 nt
Filed under: uncultured bacterium
Lineage: Bacteria
Description: partial 16S ribosomal RNA
Rfam family: Bacterial small subunit ribosomal RNA
Source: RNAcentral
CAGUAGCCGCGGUAAUACGAAGGGGGCUAGCGUUGCUCGGAAUUACUGGGCGUAAAGGGAGCGUAGGCGGGUCGUUUAGUCAGAGGUGAAAUCCCGGGGCUCAACCUCGGAACUGCCUUUGAUACUGGCGACCUUGAGGAUGGGAGAGGUAAGCGGAACUCCGAGUGUAGAGGUGGAAUUCGUAGAUAUUCGGAAGAACACCAGUGGCGAAGGCGGCUUACUGGCCCAUUACUGACGCUGAGGCUCGAAAGCGUGGGGAGCAAACAGGAUUAGAUACCCCGGUAGUCCCUGUCUCUUAUAC